Molecule: transfer RNA, 70 nt
Filed under: Trigonopoma gracile (blackstripe rasbora)
Lineage: Eukaryota; Metazoa; Chordata; Actinopteri; Cypriniformes; Danionidae
Description: tRNA-Asp
Rfam family: tRNA
About the family: Transfer RNA (tRNA) molecules are approximately 80 nucleotides in length. Their secondary structure includes four short double-helical elements and three loops (D, anti-codon, and T loops).
Source: RNAcentral
GAGAUAUUAGUAAAAUAAAUUACAUCACCUUGUCAAGAUGAAAUUACGAGUUAAACCCUCGUAUAUCUCU